AUGAAAAUCCAUAUAAAUCCAUCAAAGACUUGAAAUAAUAUAAAGUAGAUUCACAUGAAAUUAUAGGAAGUGAAGUUUACAUACUUCAAGUCAUAUCUGAUUCUGUAGUUCCUACUUGUAGAUGUGACAGGAAGGUGGAGGUUUUCGAUGAAUUCUUUACAUUGAGAGCAAAAAUGUUGAUUUCUGGGGUUUUCAUGGAAGAACCGAAUUUUUUAAGCUGCUUAUCAAGAUUUGCCUGCAGUGCCUGAGGGGAGAAAAGAUCUGGCCUUUCAAAAACUUUGACAGCAAAAUUUGCUGCAAGAUUAACCGAGUUCGUAGCAGUAUUCAGGAAAGCUUUUGCCAGAGGCAAUAUGCAGAACAUUCCCCGGCCACCAGCUAGAGCUUCCUCUGAGGGUUCUUUCCAUUCAUCAAACACCCAACCGUAACGGCGAUCAUAGAGGAAGCGAUUGGACGGCCGUCGGAAGGAGGUAGCGGUGGAGAUUUUGGAGGAGCUUGUGGAGUCCAUUAGCUCUUACCAGUUGCC
This 523-nucleotide unclassified non-coding RNA is filed under the name Hevea brasiliensis (rubber tree). Lineage: Eukaryota; Viridiplantae; Streptophyta; Magnoliopsida; Malpighiales; Euphorbiaceae. The record is from RNAcentral.